RNAcentral lists this transfer RNA (76 nucleotides) under Anaerolineae bacterium. RNAcentral's name for it is "tRNA-Lys". It matches the Rfam family "tRNA". Rfam says of the family: Transfer RNA (tRNA) molecules are approximately 80 nucleotides in length. Their secondary structure includes four short double-helical elements and three loops (D, anti-codon, and T loops). Further hydrogen bonds mediate the characteristic L-shaped molecular structure. tRNAs have two regions of fundamental functional importance: the anti-codon, which is responsible for specific mRNA codon recognition, and the 3' end, to which the tRNAs corresponding amino acid is attached (by aminoacyl-tRNA synthetases). tRNAs cope with the degeneracy of the genetic code in two manners: having more than one tRNA (with a specific anti-codon) for a particular amino acid; and 'wobble' base-pairing, i.e. permitting non-standard base-pairing at the 3rd anti-codon position. Lineage: Bacteria; Bacillati; Chloroflexota; Anaerolineae. The record is from RNAcentral.
GGGUCAUUAGCUCAGCUGGCAGAGCACUGGACUUUUAAUCCAUUGGUCGCAGGUUCGAAUCCUGCAUGACCCACCA